This 1709-nucleotide ribosomal RNA is filed under the name Nocardioides szechwanensis. RNAcentral's name for it is "bacterial LSU rRNA". It matches the Rfam family "Bacterial large subunit ribosomal RNA", at positions 1 to 1495 of the family's 2925-position model. Lineage: Bacteria; Bacillati; Actinomycetota; Actinomycetes; Propionibacteriales; Nocardioidaceae. The record is from RNAcentral.
GACGAUUUCGUUUGGCUCUGUGAGCUGGGCGGGGUGAGUUGGUGGGGUUGGUGGCUGGUGGGGGUGUGUGUUUGUUGUGGAUUGUUUUUGUAGUGUGUUGUGUCUUUGUAGUUUUUGUUGAGUGUUUGUGUUGACAAGCUGUAAAGGGCACAUGGUGGAUGCCUUGGCAUCAAGAGCCGAUGAAGGACGUUGGAGCCUGCGAUAAGCCCUGGGGAGUUGGCAACCGAGCUGUGAUCCGGGGGUGUCCGAAUGGGGAAACCUGGCUGGAGUCAUGUCCAGUUACCCACGCCUGAAUGAAAUAGGGUGUGUGGAGGGAACGUGGGGAAGUGAAACAUCUCAGUACCCAUAGGAAGAGAAAACAAAAGUGAUUCCGAGAGUAGUGGCGAGCGAAAUCGGAUGAGGCUAAACCUUCUUCGUGUGAUACCCGGCAGGGGUUGCGGAGGAGGGGUCGUGGGAGCAUUCAUGUACAUCUGCCGGUGUACGAGACAGUAAGAAAAUCCUGGUGAAGCUCAAGCCCAUUGGAAAGUGGCGCCGUAGAGGGUGAUAGCCCCGUAGGUGUAAGCCUGGAUCUGUCGAGUGUUUUCCCAAGUAACACGGAACUCCUGAAAUUCCGUGUGAAUCUGGCGGGACCACCCGUUAAGCCUAAAUACUUCUUGAUGACCGAUAGCGGACAAGUACCGUGAGGGAAAGGUGAAAAGUACCCCUGGCGGGGAGUGAAAUAGUACCUGAAACCAUGUGCCUACAAUCCGUCAGAGCGGUCCCCUUGUGGGGUUGUGAUGGCGUGCCUUUUGAAGAAUGAGCCUGCGAGUUUGCGUUGUGUUGCGAGGUUAACCCGUGUGGGGUAGCCGUAGCGAAAGCGAGUCUGAAUAGGGCGACUCAGUAGCACGAUCAAGACCCGAAGCGAAGUGAUCUAUCCAUGGGCAGGUUGAAGCGCGGGUAAGACCGCGUGGAGGACCGAACCCACUUAGGUUGAAAACUGAGGGGAUGACCUGUGGAUAGGGGUGAAAGGCCAAUCAAACUUCGUGAUAGCUGGUUCUCCCCGAAAUGCAUUUAGGUGCAGCGUUGCGUGUUUCUUGCCGGAGGUAGAGCACUGGAUAGCUAAUGGGCCCUACAAGGUUACUGACGUUAGCCAAACUCCGAAUGCCGGUAAGUGAGAGCGCAGCAGUGAGACAGUGGGGGAUAAGCUCCAUUGUCGAGAGGGAAACAGCCCAGACCAUCAGCUAAGGCCCCUAAGCGGUGACUAAGUGGAAAAGGAUGUGGAGUCGCAGUGACAACCAGGAGGUUGGCUUGGAAGCAGCCACCCUUGAAAGAGUGCGUAAUAGCUCACUGGUCAAGUGAUUCCGCGCCGACAAUGUAGCGGGGCUCAAGUCAUCCGCCGAAGCUAUGGCAUUCACAUAUUAAGCUAAGCCGCACAUUCGUUGUGUUGGUUCAGGCGUGUGGAUGGGUAGGGGAGCGUCGUGUCGCGGGUGAAGCCGCGGAGUGAUCCAGUGGUGGACGCGACACGAGUGAGAAUGCAGGCAUGAGUAGCGAAUGAAGAGUGAGAAACUCUUCCGCCGAAUGAUCAAGGGUUCCAGGGUCAAGCUAAUCUGCCCUGGGUAAGUCGGGACCUAAGGCGAGGCCGACAGGCGUAGUCGAUGGACAACGGGUUGAUAUUCCCGUACCGGCAAAGUAGCGCCCAUGACGAGCCCGGUGAUGCUAACCACCCGAAA